Alligator mississippiensis (American alligator) is the source of this 1179-nucleotide long non-coding RNA. RefSeq lists it as uncharacterized. The record is from RefSeq and is a predicted model, not a curated record. NCBI's taxonomy places the organism in Eukaryota, Metazoa, Chordata, Crocodylia, Alligatoridae. The transcript is spliced from 3 exons.
AGGAAGCAGCUUUCUGCCAUGAAAGAGAGGAGCAGCCUAACUGAAGGAGUAGUGACUGACACGGCUGCGGAAUGGAGUUUUUCCCGGGCUCUGCCGCCCCUACACCCCGUCCACUCGCCAACCGAUUGGAGCAGCCUGCGUUGUCCAGCCAUGCCUGGUGGCGAGUUACCUAGUUGUAGAAGGAGAUGAGAUUGGUAAGACAAGACCUGCCCACAACAAAGCCAUGGUGACUGUCAUUCAGAAUCCUACCUUCUGCAAAUCUAUCUCACAGACUCCUUGAUGAAUUUUUCCAGGAUUUUCCCUGACAUGGAAGUUAGACUAAUUAGCCUAUAGUUGCCCAGGUCCCCUCUUCUCCUUUUCUUGAAGAUGGGCACAACAUUGACCCUCUUCAAGUCUUCAGGGAUUUCCCCCAAGCACCAUGAAUUUUGGAAGAGUUUCACCAGAGGUUCUAUGAUGACUUCAGCCAACUCCUUCAGCAUUCUUGGAUGAAGUUCAUCCGGCCCUGCCGACUUAUAAAUGUCUAAGUUUCCUAAGUGGUCAAACACCAGCUCAAUGUCAACUGUAGGAAGGCAGUCAUUCCCACCAUGCCUAUUCUGAACCUUAUCUAGUAAGAUUCACCUAGUAUGAGUUAUCAAAGUGGGGGGUUGUUGGGAUCCAAAGGCCUUCAGGCCUGGGUUUGACCUUUAGGCUUAGCUCAAGCUGCAUGCUUAGCUUUAAUUGUGAUCGAGACAUGCACCCAGUGAAAGGAGCAGAUGGAAAAAUACUGUCCCUAACUUAAAACAAAUCAGGAAGUUGGCUAACUAAAUUGAAUAAAUAUAACCUGGACAAAAGAGGAAUAGUCAGAGCAAAACCUAUCCCCACCUAAGAAUGAAAAGAUUACCUCAGGAAAAAAAAUCCAGUUAAAGGUAACCAUAUUUGGCAAACAGAAGAAAAAUUAUUAAUGUGCAUUAGGAAGAAGGCUUGAGUUAAUUUUAUAUAUUAAAAAUGCAAGUUAUAUGGCUUAUAAGGAAAGGUAAAAAGGUGUACCCUUUGAAACACUCCCGAAGAAAGCCUGAAAAGAUCCCAUCACUGAUCCAGGAUCCUGUCUCAACAUCAGAUAUGGAAACCACAAGCCCCAGAUAAGACUUCAUGGCUUGAUCAACUGGUGAAGUUGUGUUCACAGCAUUACAGGGUGGUGAG